CCUAGAAAAAAUCUAAGGUGAAACCUGCCCAGUGGUUUUCAAAUAUAACUGUAAACAGUUUUAAGAAGACUUAAAGGACGCAGUAACCUGACUGUGAUAAUGUAGCAUAAUCAUUCGCCAUUUAAUUGAUGGAUAGUAUGAAUGGUCAAACGAAUUCCCCACUAUCUAAAAAAGAGAAGCCAUGAAACUAAAAUAAUAGUUAAGAUGCUAUUUAAAAUUGUAAGACGAAAAGACCCUAUAGAGCUUAACUAUAAUCUCCCUCAUACCAAAGAACACUUUCUUAAAACAGGAAGAAUGGUAGUUUAGUUGGGGCGACUGCCUUUUAAAACUAACAAAGGUAAGCUAAUGUUAAUAACAAAUUUACUGUACAACCAACAAAUUUAACAGUUACUACAGUAGGCUAUAAUGACCCGUUUAAGUUUAGUAAUACAUUCAACGAUCAAUGAAUAAAAGCUACCUUAGGGAUAACAGAAUAAUUUUGUCUUAGAGACCUCAUCGAAGACAAAGUUUAUCACCUCUAUGUUGAAUUAAGAUAACCCAGCAGUGCAGAAGUUGCUAAAGGUAGGUCUGUUCGACCUUUAAAAU
Molecule: ribosomal RNA, 585 nt
Filed under: Pseudocrypthelia pachypoma
Lineage: Eukaryota; Metazoa; Cnidaria; Hydrozoa; Anthoathecata; Stylasteridae
Description: partial 16S large subunit ribosomal RNA
Rfam family: Bacterial large subunit ribosomal RNA
Source: RNAcentral